RNAcentral lists this long non-coding RNA (913 nucleotides) under Apteryx haastii (Great spotted kiwi). Its description in RNAcentral is "lncRNA (ENSAHAG00000015727.1)". The record is from RNAcentral. Lineage: Eukaryota; Metazoa; Chordata; Aves; Apterygiformes; Apterygidae.
CCCCGCCCCCCCCCGGCGCGCGGGGGGGACACACGGGGGACAGGGGACGCGCAGGGGACACGGGACCGUCAGGGGACAGGGAUGGACAAGGGAUAUGGGACAUUCAGGGGACACAGGCAGGGACAGGGGACACAGGACAGACAGAACACAGGGAACAGGCAGGGGAUGCAGGCAGGGACAGGGGACACAUGGGACAUUGAGGGGACACAGGCAGGGACAGGGGACACGCAGGGGACAGGGAUGGACAGGGGACACAGGACAGACGGAACACAGGGGACAUCCAGGGGACACAGGCAAGGACAGGGUCGUGGCAGGCAGGGGACAGGCAGGGGACAGGAGGGAGGGGAUGGGGAAGAGAGCCUGUUCAGGGCUGGAUCCCCGUGUCCCCCGGGAUCCUCCUGGGAUCAGGGGAUCACUGUGUCCCCCCCCAGGGACCCUCCUGGGAUCAGGGGAUCCCCACGUGUCCCCCGGGAUCCUCCUGGGAUUGGGGAUCCCUGUGUCCCCUGGGAUCCUCCCGGGAUUGGGAUACGUGAUCCAGGGGAUGCCCAUGCCCCUCAGUGGAUCCUCCUGGGAUCAGGGGAUCCCUGUGUCUCCCUCCGGGAUCCUGCUGGAAUCAGGAAUCCCCACGUGUCCCCCCUCCAGGAUCCUCCUGGGAUCGGGGCUCCCCAUGUCCCCCCCGCCAGGGAUCCUCCCGGGAUCAGGGGAACCCCAUGUCUCCCUCGGGGAUCCUCCCGGGACGGGGGAUCCCCGCGUGCCCCCCCCGCCGGCGGCUCCCGCUCACCGGCGGCCACAAAGAGGAUGCCGGCGCCCAGGAUGAUGUUGCGCCUGGACUUGUAGACGCGGCUGGCGGCGACGCAGAAGCCGCCGAGGAGCAGCAGGAUGGCGCUGAGGAUGGGGAAGAUGCUCGAGGCCC